This 921-nucleotide ribosomal RNA is filed under the name uncultured bacterium. RNAcentral's name for it is "bacterial SSU rRNA". It matches the Rfam family "Bacterial small subunit ribosomal RNA", at positions 1 to 917 of the family's 1533-position model. RNAcentral also lists the same sequence under 1 other name. The record is from RNAcentral.
UGGAUCCAGACUUUGAUUCUGGCUCAGGAUGAACGCUAGCUACAGGCUUAACACAUGCAAGUCGAGGGGCAGCAUGACGAUAGCUUGCUAUCGUUGAUGGCGACCGGCGCACGGGUGAGUAACGCGUAUCCAACCUGCCCUUGUCCAUCGGAUAACCCGUCGAAAGGCGGCCUAACACGAUAUGCAGUUCUCCGCAGGCAUCUAACGAGAACGAAAUGUGAAGGAGAAGGAUGGGGAUGCGUCUGAUUAGCUUGUUGGCGGGGUAACGGCCCACCAAGGCGACGAUCAGUAGGGGUUCUGAGAGGAAGGUCCCCCACAUUGGAACUGAGACACGGUCCAAACUCCUACGGGAGGCAGCAGUGAGGAAUAUUGGUCAAUGGGCGAGAGCCUGAACCAGCCAAGUAGCGUGCAGGAAGACGGCCCUAUGGGUUGUAAACUGCUUUUAUGCGGGGAUAAAGUGAGCCACGUGUGGCUUAUUGCAGGUACCGCAUGAAUAAGGACCGGCUAAUUCCGUGCCAGCAGCCGCGGUAAUACGGAAGGUCCGGGCGUUAUCCGGAUUUAUUGGGUUUAAAGGGAGCGUAGGCCGUCUGGUAAGCGUGUUGUGAAAUGUCGGGGCUCAACCUGGGCGUUGCAGCGCGAACUGUCAGGCUUGAGUGCGCGGGAAGUAGGCGGAAUUCGUCGUGUAGCGGUGAAAUGCUUAGAUAUGACGAAGAACUCCGAUUGCGAAGGCAGCCUGCUGUAGCGCAACUGACGCUGAAGCUCGAAAGCGUGGGUAUCGAACAGGAUUAGAUACCCUGGUAGUCCACGCGGUAAACGAUGGAUGCUCGCUGUUUGCGUCUGACGUAAGCGGCCAAGCGAAAGCGUUAAGCAUCCCACCUGGGGAGUACGCCGGCAACGGUGCAACUCAAAGGAAUUGACGGA